Molecule: small RNA, 47 nt
Filed under: Plasmodium falciparum 3D7
Lineage: Eukaryota; Apicomplexa; Aconoidasida; Haemosporida; Plasmodiidae
Description: Pfa-rasR7015
Source: RNAcentral
CUUUCAUUUGUGGGUCAUUAUCAUAGUUUGAUGGUGCAUAUAAUUCA